RNAcentral lists this unclassified non-coding RNA (595 nucleotides) under Hevea brasiliensis (rubber tree). The record is from RNAcentral. Lineage: Eukaryota; Viridiplantae; Streptophyta; Magnoliopsida; Malpighiales; Euphorbiaceae.
AUCCUUAUCUUAGUCCUUUACAGGUAUAUUUAGCAAUUUGGUUGAAUUUUAUAAUUUUAGAUGUUUUUGAUUUAAAGAAAGUGUUUCAUAUACUGAUAUUCCUAUCUCAUAUAUUUUAUAAUGUUUUAUAGAAAUAAAUUACUCAUCAUCAUCAUCAUCAUUAUUGUCAUAUGGCCUGUAGGAACUUGAAAGUUUAGUUUUUGCUGUUUCUCAUGUCUUAUGUAUGCUUACAAUCAAUUCAAGUGAAGUAACACACUGUGUGCAUUAUAUUUUAUAAGAGAAUGUUGUUCCUUUUUUGUCAUCUACUCCACUAAAAGUGAAAUGUUAUCCUUCAUUUGUAGUGUUAUGUUACAAAGCAUUCAACUUAUUUAGCUGAUGUAAUGCAUUGAUGAGUUAAAUGGUGUUUAUCAAUAAUAUUGUAUAUUCUGCUUUAAUCAAUUUGCUGCUUUUUUGGGCAUUGUCAAUUCAAUUGGUAUUGUUUUCUUUUUGAGCUGUGCAUCCGGAUUCUUGCUAUAACACCUUUCAUUUUCUAGUCUUUUGAAAAGGGGGUGUGUUUGUGGGUUUUUUUUUUAAUUUUUUUUUAAUUUUUUUAGAC